RNAcentral lists this long non-coding RNA (611 nucleotides) under Mytilus galloprovincialis (Mediterranean mussel). Lineage: Eukaryota; Metazoa; Mollusca; Bivalvia; Mytilida; Mytilidae. The record is from RNAcentral.
UUAAGGUAGUACCCAACACUUUCACUGAAAUUAAUUUGGCUCGUUUAAUUUUCAUAAAAUCUUGUCAAAGUAUUUACAUUGACCCUUUAACAAAAAUAUCAAAAUAUCAAAAAUUUUGAACCAACCAAUUAAUCAGAAAAAUUACACUGGUUAUAUAGCAGUUUGACAAACACUAAUUUUGAUCAUUGAGAAGCCUAAUAUUCCCUUAACAACACAACGUAGAAAAACGUUUAGCUGAUUUUAAAGAGUUGUCUCCCUGUAGUGUUAGGUACCACAUUAAAAAUCUAGUUAAAAUCAUACUUAUCAAUCACCUAUUUUGUCUAAGCAGAUUUUAAGUUAUAUUGGUUUGUUUUUGUAAUGUUCUACAUGAUUUAUUAUUGUGUGGGUUAUUGAGUUAUAAGUGUGCACAUAGAAAAUAUAUCCGUCUUGUGCUGUUGUAGUAAUAUAUUUCUUGUGAUCACUAAUUCCUUGAUGGUUAUAUUAAACCACGAGAGUAUGUUUACAUGUUUGAACGUAUCUCAUAGAUAUUCAUAACUGUACAUACAAAAUAUUUCCAGCGAUUUGUAAAAUAACAUUUCAGAUACGCUCUCUCUUAAAAUUUGCUAUAAUAA